This 347-nucleotide unclassified non-coding RNA is filed under the name soil metagenome. RNAcentral's name for it is "partial contains 5.8S ribosomal RNA, internal transcribed spacer 2, and large subunit ribosomal RNA". The stretch from base 4 to 119 matches the Rfam family "5.8S ribosomal RNA", at positions 39 to 154 of the family's 154-position model. The record is from RNAcentral.
GAUAAGAACGCAGCGAAAUGCGAAAAGUAAUGUGAAUUGCAGAAUUCAGUGAACCAUCGAAUCUUUGAACGCACAUUGCGCCCGCUGGAACUCCGGCGGGCACGCCUGUCCGAGCGUCAUUUCAACCCUCAGGCCCCCCUUCGCGGGCGGGCCUGGUGUUGGGGCCCGGCCGCUACCCUGCGGCCGUCCCCUAAAUCCAGUGGCGGCCUCGCCGUGAUCCCUUGCGUAGUAAUGCACCUCGCACCGGAGAGCGCCGUGGCCACGCCGUAAAACCCCCAAUUUUCAAUGGUUGACCUCGGAUCAGGUGGGAAUACCCGCUGAACUUAAGCAUAUCAAUAAGCGGAGGA